Molecule: ribosomal RNA, 912 nt
Filed under: uncultured archaeon
Lineage: Archaea
Description: bacterial SSU rRNA
Rfam family: Archaeal small subunit ribosomal RNA
Source: RNAcentral
UUCCGGUUGAUCCUGCCGGAGGCUACUGCUAUCGGGAUACGAUUAAGCCAUGCGAGUCGAGAGGGUUCGGCCCUCGGCUGACGGCUCAGUAACACGUGGAUAACCUGCCCUCAGGUAGGGGAUAAUCUCGGGAAACUGAGGAUAAUACCCUAUAGACAUCCUUUGCUGGAAUGCUUGGAUGUUCAAAGGCGACGCCUGAGGAUGGGUCUGCGGCCUAUCAGGUAGUAGUGGGUGUAACGGACCCACUAGCCUACGACGGGUACGGGCCUUGAAAGAGGUAGCCCGGAGAUGGACUCUGAGACACGAGUCCAGGCCCUACGGGGUGCAGCAGGCGCGAAAACUUCGCAAUGCGGGAAACCGUGACGAGGGAAUCCCGAGUGCUCAUACAAUGUAUGGGCUUUUCUGAUGUGUAAAAAGUAUUAGGAAUAAGGGCUGGGUAAGACCGGUGCCAGCCGCCGCGGUAAUACCGGCAGCUCUAGUGGUAGCCACUUUUAUUGGGCCUAAAGCGUCCGUAGCCGGUCAGGUAAAUCCUUGGGUAAAUCGUACAGCUUAACUGUGCGGCUUCCGGGGAGACUGCUUGACUUGGGACCGGGAGAGGUUGGAGGUACUCCUGGGGUAGGGGUGAAAUCCUGUAAUCCUAGGUGGACCACCGGUGGCGAAGGCGUCCAACCAGAACGGCUCCGACGGUGAGGGACGAAGGCUAGGGGCGCAAACCGGAUUAGAUACCCGGGUAGUCCUAGCUGUAAACGCUGCAGACUUGGUGUUGGAGAUCCUGCGAGGGUGUCCAGUGCCGGAGAGAAGUUGUUAAGUUUGCCGCCUGGGAAGUAUGGCCGCAAGGCUGAAACUUAAAGGAAUUGGCGGGGGAGCACCGCAACGGGAGGAGCGUGCGGUUUAAUUGGAUUCAACGCCGGG